GCCAGGCGUGGUGGCACGUGCCUGUAGUCCCAGCUACUCAGGAGGCUGAGGUGGGAGGAUCGCUUGAGUCCAGGAGUUCUGGGCUGUAGUGCGCUAUGCCGAUCGGGUGUCCGCACUAAGUUCGGCAUCAAUAUGGUGACCUCCCGGGAGCGGGGGACCACCAGGUUGCCUAAGGAGAGGUGAACUGGCCCAGGUCAGAAACGGAGCAGGUCAAAACUCCUGUGCUGAUCAGUAGAGGGAUCGCACCUGUGAAUAACCACUGCACUCCAUAGCAAGACCCUGUCUCU
This 287-nucleotide signal recognition particle RNA is filed under the name Cebus imitator (Panamanian white-faced capuchin). Its description in RNAcentral is "Metazoan signal recognition particle RNA (ENSCCAG00000014649.1)". It matches the Rfam family "Metazoan signal recognition particle RNA". From Rfam's summary of the family: The signal recognition particle (SRP) is a universally conserved ribonucleoprotein. It is involved in the co-translational targeting of proteins to membranes. The eukaryotic SRP consists of a 300-nucleotide 7S RNA and six proteins: SRPs 72, 68, 54, 19, 14, and 9. The record is from RNAcentral. Lineage: Eukaryota; Metazoa; Chordata; Mammalia; Primates; Cebidae.